UGUCCUCUGGGGAGCUUGGGGCCAUGUCCACACACGUUUUUAGUAUUUCCUCUGCUGUGUUUGCUUCAUUUAUUCACUAACAGUGCAGCCUGCUCAAGGAUAAAAACGUGCGUCCUUCUCCUUCACGUGGUAGACACUUUGCACGAAUAAUCACGAAUAUAGACAACUAUACACCAAUCAACACGAAACCACACUCGUGAAAGAGGUCUGUGCUAGAAGUGUUUGGCCAAAAAUUGUUGAUGACAGCUCUACCACUGAUGUUGCUAUGGAAACACCGGCAGGAAAUACUGAUGCACAGCUUAAGGCUACAGUGCUGUUUGCAUGGGUGCAUGUGUGGGGAGAGGUCUGCUGAACAUGGCAGCAAUUUCUCACCUGGAGAGCCGUGGAACACCUGGAUGACAUCAUCAUACAGGAUGAGUGUUCCUGGUCUUUGGGCCAACAGGGCACUCUGCUGGCAUGCCACGGUACAGAGCUGGUGACAUAAUCUUUCUGAGAUGCUGUGAUGAUUACCCAUGAGCCCAUGCG
Molecule: long non-coding RNA, 525 nt
Organism: Electrophorus electricus (electric eel)
Lineage: Eukaryota; Metazoa; Chordata; Actinopteri; Gymnotiformes; Gymnotidae
Source: RefSeq, a predicted model, not a curated record